CCUUGUCCCCAGUCCCUCUCCAGCUCUCCUGGAGCCCCUUUGGGCCCUGGAAGAGGCUCUGAGCUCUCCCUGGAGCCUUCUCCUCUCCAGAAAACCUCUGAUGUGGGCUGGCUUUCCCAGGGAAGUGCCUCUCUGCUCUCUGGUGUCCCUGGGGAAUGGCAGUUCAGAGCAAGCUGUGUGCCACGGAGGUCAAUGGCUGCUGAGGGAAAAGCCUCCAGGAAUGCAGAGUGUUUGUCCCAAGCACCUCUGGGUG
Molecule: long non-coding RNA, 253 nt
Organism: Vidua chalybeata
Lineage: Eukaryota; Metazoa; Chordata; Aves; Passeriformes; Viduidae
Exons: 3
Source: RefSeq, a predicted model, not a curated record